This 776-nucleotide ribosomal RNA is filed under the name uncultured archaeon. RNAcentral's name for it is "bacterial SSU rRNA". It matches the Rfam family "Archaeal small subunit ribosomal RNA", at positions 1 to 763 of the family's 1478-position model. The record is from RNAcentral.
UUCCGGUUGAUCCUGCCGGACCCGACUGCUAUUUGGGUGAGAAUAAGCCAUGCGAGUUGAAUGGAAUACCUAAAUUUUCCAUGGCAAACUGCUCAGUAACACAUGAUCAACUUACCCUAUAGAGAAAAAUAACCUCGGGAAACUGAGGAUAAUGUUUCAUAGUUGAAAAGGCUUGGAAAAGUUUUUCAAUCAAAAGGAUAAAAAAAAUGGUUUUUAUCCGCUAUAGGAUAGGAUCGUGGUCGAUUAUGGUUGUUGGUGAGGUAAUGGCUCACCAAGCCGAUAAUCGAUAGGGGCCGUGAGAGCGGGAGCCCCGAGAUGGGUACUGAGACAACGACCCAGGCCUUACGAGGCGCAGCAGGCGCGAAACCUCCGCAAUACACGAAAGUGUGACGGGGUUACCCAAAGUGUUCAGUUUUGAACUGUGGUAGGUGAGUAAUGUCCCCUACUAGAAAGGAGAGGGCAAGGCUGGUGCCAGCCGCCGCGGUAAAACCAGCUCUUCAAGUGGUCGGGAUAAUUAUUGGGCUUAAAGUGUCCGUAGCCGGUUUAGUAAGUUCCUGGUAAAAUCGGGUAGCUUAACUAUCUGUAUGCUAGGAAUACUGCUAAACUAGAGGGCGGGAGAGGUCUGAGGUACUACAGGGGUAGGGGUGAAAUCUUAUAAUCCUUGUAGGACCACCAGUGGCGAAGGCGUCAGACUGGAACGUGCCUGACGGUGAGGGACGAAAGCCAGGGGAGCGAACCGGAUUAGAUACCCGGGUAGUCCUGGCCGUAAACGAUGC